RNAcentral lists this ribosomal RNA (497 nucleotides) under uncultured bacterium. Its description in RNAcentral is "partial 16S ribosomal RNA". It matches the Rfam family "Bacterial small subunit ribosomal RNA", at positions 28 to 507 of the family's 1533-position model. The record is from RNAcentral.
GAUGAACGCUGGCGGCGUGCCUAAUACAUGCAAGUCGAGCGAACAGACGAGGAGCUUGCUCCUCUGACGUUAGCGGCGGACGGGUGAGUAACACGUGGAUAACCUACCUAUAAGACUGGGAUAACUUCGGGAAACCGGCGCUAAUACCGGAUAAUAUAUUGUACCGCAUGGUUCUAUAGUGAAAGACGGUUUUGCUGUCUCUUAUAGAUUGAUCCGCGCCGCAUUAGCUAGUUGUUAAGGUAACGGCUUACCAAGGCAACGAUGCGUAGCCGACCUGAGAGGGUGAUCGGCCAAACGGGAACUGAGACACGGACCAGACUCCUACGGGAGGCAGCAGUAGGGAAUCUGCCGCAAUGGGCGAAAGCCUGACGGAGCAACGCCGCGUGAGUGAGGAAGGUCUUCGGAUCGUAAAACUCUGUUAUUAGGGAAGAACAAAUGUGUAAGUAACUAUGCACGUCUUGACGGUACCUAAUCAGAAAGCCACGGCUAACUACGUG